Molecule: ribosomal RNA, 491 nt
Filed under: uncultured bacterium
Lineage: Bacteria
Description: partial 16S ribosomal RNA
Rfam family: Bacterial small subunit ribosomal RNA
Source: RNAcentral
GUGCACGCUGGCGGUAGGCCUAACCCAUGCAAGUCGAACGGCAGCACAGUAAGCGCUUGCUCUUACGGGUGGCGAGUGGCGGACGGGUGAGGAAUACAUCGGAAUCUACUUUUUCGUGGGGGAUAACGUAGGGAAACUUACGCUAAUACCGCAUACGACCUACGGGUGAAAGCAGGGGAUCUUCGGACCUUGCGCGAUUGAAUGAGCCGAUGUCGGAUUAGCUAGUUGGCGGGGUAAAGGCCCACCAAGGCGACGAUCCGUAGCUGGUCUGAGAGGAUGAUCAGCCACACUGGAACUGAGACACGGUCCAGACUCCUACGGGAGGCAGCAGUGGGGAAUAUUGGACAAUGGGCGCAAGCCUGAUCCAGCCAUACCGCGUGGGUGAAGAAGGCCUUCGGGUUGUAAAGCCCUUUUGUUGGGAAAGAAAAGCAGCAGGUUAAUACCCCGCUGUUCUGACGGUACCCAAAGAAUAAGCACCGGCUAACUUCGUG